This 1523-nucleotide long non-coding RNA is filed under the name Macaca fascicularis (crab-eating macaque). RNAcentral describes it as "lncRNA (ENSMFAG00000061586.1)". The record is from RNAcentral. Lineage: Eukaryota; Metazoa; Chordata; Mammalia; Primates; Cercopithecidae.
GGUGCCAAGGCAAGAGACCGAAGCCACAAGCUGUUCCAGUAUAAUAAAGAAAACAAUUAGAAUAAGAAUAGUUAUAUUAGAAAUAGAAUAUAGACAUGAUUGUAUAUGAAUAUAAUCAAUCAUUAGUUUGUAGCAUUACUCUUUAUUUCAUUAUUAUAUUAAUCUCUGUUCUAUAAUUAUUACCUGUUCUAUACUUAUUACCUAUGGAAAGCCAGGCCAUACAGAAUUAGGAGCUGAAGGGACACGGUGAGAAGUGACCAGAAGGCAAGAGUGUGAGCUCUCUAUCAAGCCUGGACAAGGGCCACUAGAGGGCUCCUUGGUCUAGUGGUAACGCCAGUGCCUGGGAAAGCACCCAUUACUUAGCAGACCUUGGUCUAGCUGUAGUGCCAGCGCCUGGGAAGGCACCCAUUACUUAGCAGACCGGGAAAGGGUGUCUCCCUUUCCCCAGGGAAGUUAGAGAACGCUCUGCUUCACCACCUCUUGUGGAAGGCCUGACAUCAGCCAGGACUGCCCGCAGCUAUCCAGAGGCCUAAAUGUCUCCCUGUGAUGCUGUGCUUCAGUGAUCACAUCCUGGUCCACUUUCAUAUUCCGCUCUGUGCACCUGGCCCUGCCUUCUAGAUAGCAGUAGCAGAAUUAGUGAAAGUAUUAAAGUCUUUGAUCUUUCUGAGAAAUGCAUAGAAGAAAUAAUGACAUAAGCUGUUCCCUCUCUCUCUCUCUCUGCCUCAGCUACCAAAUAGGUAAGGGCCUCCUGUCCGGUGGACACGUGACUCGCAUGACCUUACCUAUCAUUGGAGACGACUCACGCUCCUUACCCUGCCCCCCUGCCUUGUAUACAAUAAAUAGCAGCGCAGUCAGGCAUUCGGGGCUACUACCAGUCUUCGCGUCUUGGUGGUAGUGGUCCCUCAGGCCCAGCUCUCUUUUCUUCUAUCUUCUUGUCUUGUGUCUUUAUUUCUACAAUCUCUCGACUCCACAUACGAAGAGAAAAACCCAUAGGCCCUGUAGGGCUGAACCCUACAUUGUGGUAAGGAAAGAAUGUCACUGUCUGACAGGCCCAGGAAACUCAAGAUAUUUGGGACCUUGAGAAGAGAGGAAUUCAUCCAAUUCAUACAGGUACUACAGGCACAGGCUGAUCAUGAAUCCUUGGCUUGGCUUCAAAGCCUGGGGAGGUUUUCAAAAGUCCAACCUGAGAUUCUUUAUGAAAAAGCUCCAGCAGGCCGGGCGUGGUGGCUCAAGCCUGUAAUCCCAGCACUUUGGGAGGCCGAGACGGGUGGAUCACGAGGUCAGGAGAUCGAGACCAUCCUGGCUAACAUGGUGAAACCCCGUCUCUACUAAAAAAUACAAAAAACUAGCCGGGCCAGGUGGCGGGUGCCUGUAGUCCCAGCUACUCAGGAGGCUGAGGCAGAAUGGCGUGAACCCGAGAGGCGGAGCUUGCAGUGAGCCGAGAUCUGGCCAUUGCACUCCAGCCUGGGUGACAGAGCAAGACUCCAUCUCAAAAAAAAAAAAAAAGAAAAGAAAAGAAAAAG